Molecule: ribosomal RNA, 437 nt
Filed under: uncultured bacterium
Lineage: Bacteria
Description: partial 16S ribosomal RNA
Rfam family: Bacterial small subunit ribosomal RNA
Source: RNAcentral
AGCGAACGCUGGCGGCAGGCUUAACACAUGCAAGUCGAGCGGGCAUCCUUGUGGUGUCAGCGGCAGACGGGUGAGUAACGCGUGGGAACGUGCCCUUCGGUUCGGAAUAACUCAGGGAAACUUGAGCUAAUACCGGAUACGUGCGAGAGCAGAAAGGUUUAUCUGCCGAAGGAUCGGCCCGCGUCUGAUUAGCUAGUUGGUGAGGUUAUGGCUCACCAAGGCGACGAUCAGUAGCUGGUCUGAGAGGAUGAUCAGCCACACUUGGACUGAGACACGGCCCCGACUCCUACGGGAGGCAGCAGUGGGGAAUAUUGGACAAUGGGGGCAACCCUGAUCCAGCCAUGCCGCGUGAGUGAUGACGGCCUUAGGGUUGUAAAGCUCUUUUCUUCGGGACGAUAAUGACGGUACCGGAGGAAUAAGCCCCGGCUAACUUCGUG